AGAAAUCAAACCUCGAGGCGGUGGUUGAGUGGAUGAAAUCGAAGUCAACAACGCUAGCAAGAGCGACGACAACAAGGGUGAGGUGGAGCGGUGGGGAGGCUCAAUCGGCGAAGUUAAGGUGAACAUGUCGAACGAUAGUAACAUGCGACCGGAGGGUUUGGGGAUAAUAAAAUUACGCCUUGUUUUAUUUCCCAGCGAUGAACGAUGGUGGUGUCUUAGGUUUCGGGUACCACCGAUGGUGUUAACCUGGUGAUAAUGAUAAGGUCGGUGAUGUUUACAGGAUGAAGAUGCAGGUGAUGAUUGGUAAAAAGGUACUUCCGGUUCGAAAGGGAAGGGCCUGACAUGAUCACAGCGCAUCCACCCAUGUUUCCGCAUUAUGAUGAUUUUGGGAUUAUACUAUGAUAACUGUUUUCUUAUAAAGUACUUUUGAAUAUUUAGAAAAAGGAUAAUAAAUGUUUGAUGUAAAGAUAGUUAAUGUUUUGGUUGAAUUAAAAAUGAUAAUUUACUUCAUAA
Non-coding RNA from Lactuca sativa (garden lettuce), 513 nucleotides. Lineage: Eukaryota; Viridiplantae; Streptophyta; Magnoliopsida; Asterales; Asteraceae. The record is from RefSeq and is a predicted model, not a curated record.